GCGGGCGUGGCGAAAUUGGUAUACGCAAGGGACUUAAAAUCCCUCGGCCGNNGCACCUGAUCGACGACCGUUUCGCGCGCC
Molecule: transfer RNA, 81 nt
Filed under: Alcanivorax sp.
Lineage: Bacteria; Pseudomonadati; Pseudomonadota; Gammaproteobacteria; Oceanospirillales; Alcanivoracaceae
Description: tRNA-Leu
Rfam family: tRNA (bases 1-72)
About the family: Transfer RNA (tRNA) molecules are approximately 80 nucleotides in length. Their secondary structure includes four short double-helical elements and three loops (D, anti-codon, and T loops).
Source: RNAcentral